RNAcentral lists this ribosomal RNA (348 nucleotides) under uncultured bacterium. RNAcentral describes it as "bacterial SSU rRNA". It matches the Rfam family "Bacterial small subunit ribosomal RNA", at positions 8 to 351 of the family's 1533-position model. The record is from RNAcentral.
AGAGUUUGAUUUCAGGCUCAGGACGAACUCUGGCGGCGUGCCUAAUACAUGCAGUCGAGCGGAUCUUCUCCUUCUGGAGAAGGUUAGCGGCGGACNGGUGAGUAACACUUAGGCAACCUGCCCCUUCGAUCGGGAUAACAUUCGGAAACNAAUGCUAAGACCGGAUUCAUUAUCUUGCCNCAUAUCUGGAUGAGGAAACACGGUGCAUGCUGUGUCGAAUGGAUGGGCCUGCGCCUCAUUAUCUAUUUGGUGAGGUAACGGCCCACCAUGGCGACUAUGCGUAGCCGACCUGAAAGGGUGACUUUCUUCUCUGGGACUGAUACUUUCCUUAUCUCCUAUUGGAGGCAG